Molecule: ribosomal RNA, 446 nt
Filed under: uncultured bacterium
Lineage: Bacteria
Description: bacterial SSU rRNA
Rfam family: Bacterial small subunit ribosomal RNA
Source: RNAcentral
CCCAGACUCCUACGGGAGGCAGCAGUGGGGAAUAUUGCACAAUGGGGGAAACCCUGAUGCAGCGACGCCGCGUGAGUGAAGAAGUAUUUCGGUAUGUAAAGCUCUAUCAGCAGGGAAGAGAAUGACGGUACCUGAGUAAGAAGCCCCGGCUAACUACGUGCCAGCAGCCGCGGUAAUACGUAGGGGGCAAGCGUUAUCCGGAUUUACUGGGUGUAAAGGGAGCGUAGACGGCGAAGAAAGUCUGAAGUGAAAGCCCGCGGCUCAACCGCGGAACUGCUUUGGAAACUUUUUUGCUGGAGUACCGGAGAGGUAAGCGGAAUUCCUAGUGUAGCGGUGAAAUGCGUAGAUAUUAGGAGGAACACCAGUGGCGAAGGCGGCUUACUGGGCUUUAACUGACGCUCAGGCACGAAAGCAUGGGUAGCAAACAGGAUUAGAUACCCCAGUAG